UUUAUAUUUUUUUUAAGGAACGCGCGUCUCUCUUCUCUAAGAGGGAAAAUGAAAUCCCCAAAAAUUUUGAACCCCGAUUUUUCUCCUACAUUCGAUCUGUUCUCUAACAUCUCAUCUGCUUCGUCUCCGCCCCUCACCCACCUCCACUACCUCCAACCCACACCGACUCUUCAAGUCUGCACAACGUAAGCUAGGGCUUUUUUUGAUCGGAGGUUAUGGUGUGGAGGAAUUUGGGGAAAACAACAAGAAGGAGGAGGAAUAAGGUUAAUAAUCUGAUUCCAUUCAUGUUUGUGUUGCUUUUCUCAUUGAUGUUCGACGUCUUCUCCGGUGGUGAUGGUCGUCGGACAGGUUACGGUUUUGUUAAAGGCGCCGUUGGAAAAAGCGAUGGAGGUUCUGGUGCGAUUUAGUGGAUUACUGGUGGCGGUGUUGGUGCUAGUGGUGGCUCUGGAUCCCAAUCUAAUGUCGGAAUAGCUAUCGCCAUGACAGUCAUGGCUGGCCUCCCCGUGGCCACCACCCUCGUUUACUCUAAUAGAUUAUAGAUAUAGUUACUUCACAUAUAGAAUUUACUAGAAAAAGGAAAGAUGUUGGCCUCACAACAGAAACAUCAUGUAUUGAGAGCACUCCGACGAAGUCACACUUCGUCACCAUCAUCUUCAAAUUCGUCCUCUCCGACAUCGUCGUCAUCGUGGAUUCAUUUGCGAUCAGUUCUAUUAGUCGUUGCUUCCUCAUCAUCAUCCUCACCAAUUUCUAGGUCAGUUCCCUCAUUCGUCUUUCCUCUCCUUUCUAGAUCUCGAUCUCCAACUACUAUCUUUUACUCCAAAAAAAUGCACCGAUCUCUUGUUUCUCUACUUGCUUAGCCGAUUUGUUCUAGGUUUUUUUACUUCUAUACACCUACCUUUCACCAGAUAUUGUAUUCCUCCUUUUUUUUCUUCAAGUUUCUAUGGGAAGAACCCCGCUUUUACAAGCCCUAGGUGUGAUUGCACUAAGGUAUGAAAAGGAUGCUUCUACUCUGCCCUAUUUCUUCAGUCGUUCAACAAAUAAGAGGGCAUGCAAUUUCUCAUUCAUAUCUCAACUUCAUCUUCUCGAUCAAGAAAAAAGCUUAUGAUUUUUCCCUUUCAGCUUAUAGCUAUUGGCUUAGAACUAGAUGCUGUUUGGGAAGCUAUCUGUCAAGCACAUGUAUCAGUUGUUUGAGUUUCUAUUCACACCAUUUGAUGAUGCUAGUAACCCUAUCAUAGCUCAGGCAGCUUUCCUUGCAACAUUAACGAAAGUUGAGAUUGCAGAAGCAGCUGCUUCUGCAGCUGUAAAGGCUUUGACCGAAGUCAACUAUGAAACUAGUAAAGAAAUUCUUGAAUCGUCUGUUGAUGAUGCAAAAGAUCAAGAGGAUGUCUUUCUUGCAGCUUCAACAGCAAACACAAGAAAAAUGCUAGGAGAUUUGGGAUAGACAAGUUCAAAACCUGUUUGCUGUUGAUGGUGAAGAAAACGAAAGCUACAUUGAAGCACAUAGUGACCUUGAUUCAUUUGUAGAAGCUUAAGAUUGGGAAGGCUGGUAUCACAGAGGGGAUUGUUAAUGGAAUCCAUGAGAGGUGGAGAAGGACUGUCCUCGUAAAGAUUGUCUAUGAGGAUUUGUCUAGAUUGAACAUGAGGAUUUGUCUAUUCUUCUGUAGUAUACAGUGUGGACAUUGUAAAAAUCUUGCACCUGAAGGGAAGAAGGCUACAAAGAAUUUACAAGGAAAGGUGAAGCUUGGACAUGUGAACUGUGAUGACAAAAAGUCUUUAAUGAGUAGGUUUAAGGUACAAGGGUUCCCAACUAUAUUAGUAUUUGGUGCAGAUAAAGAGAGUCCAAUCACAUAUGAAGGAGCAAGAAUUGCAUCUGCAAUUGAAUCAUUUUCCCUUGUUCAGCUAGAAACAAAUGUUGCUCCUUUUGAAGUGACCGAGUUGACUAGCUCAGAUGUGAUGGAAGAGAAAUUUGGUUCAGCUACCAUCUGUUUUGUUUCCUUCCUCCCUGAUAUUUUGGACUCUAAGGCUGAGGGAAGGAAUAAGUAUAUAGAGAUACUUCUAUCAGUUGCUGAAAAGUUCAAAAGGAGUCCUUACAGGUUUAAUCGGUUCCAUGGCCAAUGGCGGAUCCUGGAUUUUUUUUUUUAUGUUAGGAGAGCUUGGGGCCAUUUAUACGAUAAGAUUUGUGGAAGGAAUGGCUCCGGUUUUCUCCAGAGCUGCAUGGCAUUGUGGAAGGAUCCCCAAGGGCGUGCAGUUGUGAGCUGGUAUGGGGGCGUUUUGGUCAUUGAAAAAGGAGUCAAAGGUGGAGAUAUUCUCAAUGCUGGCAUAUGCGUUCUAUAUGGAUGAUUCUCCAAGCAUCCAAAGGAAAAGCCUCCAAGCAACUCUGAAUGAUCUGAUCUGUAUGCAUUUGAAUUGAUGCAAAGGUUGGUGACUCGGCAGGACCUAAAUGUAAAGUCGUAUUACAAGAAGUUAGUCAACUUGUUGAAGAAAAUUAAGCUUGCAUCAAAUAGCAAAGCAUUGAAGACCACAUUUGGUGCUGCUCAGGUUCUGACAGCUCUAGCAACCUCCUUCCAUGCCCUGAAGCCUUUCAAAGUUCUUGCAUCAGGUUAUUCUUUUUAGAAAGGAUAUUGUCAAAUGAGAUUAUCAAAGGAGAAUUUAGUCAUGAGUUUCUUUUAAUGUUGUACAUGUUUUGUUUUCUAUAAUAAAUAUUAUGAAAUAUUAGCAAUGUGUUACAUUUACUUACUAUUGGAAUAAUUAUUUGUAUUUGACAUAUUAGUGAAAUGAAUUAUCUUUGUUAUUUAUGGUAUUUUAUUUUGUAUUAUGAAAUUUUUAAUGUAUUAUUUAAUUUGAAAAUUAGUAAAUCUAUAAAUAAUAUUUUUUUAAACAUUUAAAAUUAUGAUACGCAAAAAUGUGUGUCAUCUUCAUUUAUGACAUGACCUUUCUUGACAGGGGCUUUCUUGAUACGCAAUGCGUGUCAUUA
Lactuca sativa (garden lettuce) is the source of this 2974-nucleotide non-coding RNA. Lineage: Eukaryota; Viridiplantae; Streptophyta; Magnoliopsida; Asterales; Asteraceae. The record is from RefSeq and is a predicted model, not a curated record.